Molecule: long non-coding RNA, 1001 nt
Organism: Notothenia coriiceps (black rockcod)
Lineage: Eukaryota; Metazoa; Chordata; Actinopteri; Perciformes; Nototheniidae
Exons: 2
Source: RefSeq, a predicted model, not a curated record
GGCAGCAUUUUCUCCUCUCCUUUCGGUUAGGGAGGUCCAGUGGUUGCUAAGCUAAAGGAGGUUAUAAAGGAAGUUUGAAACCUCCUUUCCUAUCAUUCUAGAGAAUUCAAACGGCACUUAUGAUGGCUGCCACUGAGGGACUUCCGGUUAAUUUCACUCGGUUAGGAAGGUUCCUAAGCAAAAUGGACUAUUCGAACGCAACCUUAGAUGUCCUUCAACAUGGCACGCUGAAAUCCAUUUCCGGGUCACUACCAGAGGACAGAGGAGUCGAGGAGGGGAAAUUAGUUAAAUGAGAAAGGGCCCUUGCCUUGCCUGAGCAACAGUAUGAAGUUAGGCUUGUUUGGACACACUGCAGAGGUCAGAGGUCAGGUAAAGUGCCAGAUGCCUCACCUUUGCAUUUCCCUCUGCCUACAGGGUUGUUUGGUGACACUGAAGACUUUGUUUGAGGAUAAUUUCCUCACCACCGGGAUCUCUGUCAUCGUCCUCUGCAUUAUCGAGGUGCUGGGAAUGUGUUUCGCCAUGACGCUCUUCUGCCACAUCAGCAGAUCUGGACUGGGCUACAAGUUAUAGACUUUACAACUUUGAUCUUUUAUCUAUGUUUUUCACAGUUAAUAUCCUUUAAGGAAUCAUGUCUAAUCGAUGAUGCUGAGAAAUCUGAAAAGAUCAGAAAAUAGUUAUCUUGUGAAAAUGUGAUUUUACUAAUCUUUGACCUUAGCAUAGAAGAAAAUAAUGUAUCAACUAUAAAUUGGAAGACCAUUUUUAAGACAUGACCGCGGUGUCCUUUAACGGAGUGAAGCUUUUUAGAUGCUUUUCAGUCUGCACUGUGUGCAGGGAGACGACUGUUGCCGUUGGUUUCUCCAGACUUUUCUACAUUGUGUCUUUUGAGAAGAAUAAUUGCAGUAGGAAAAAAGAGCUUUUUCUGUAAAAUACAUGACAUAUAUUCUGUAACUUUCUAACAAAGACUCAUCCUGUAAUAUACCAAUAAAGUAUUAUUUACAGUA